GGGGAAUUUUGGACAAUGGGGGCAACCCUGAUCCAGCCAUGCCGCGUGAGUGAAGAAGGCCUUCGGGUUGUAAAGCUCUUUCGGCCGGGAAGAAAUCGCACAGGCUAAUACUCUGUGUGGAUGACGGUACCGGCAUAAGAAGCACCGGCUAACUACGUGCCAGCAGCCGCGGUAAUACGUAGGGUGCGAGCGUUAAUCGGAAUUACUGGGCGUAAAGCGUGCGCAGGCGGUUAGAUAAGUUUGAUGUGAAAUCCCCGGGCUCAACCUGGGAACUGCAUUGAAGACUGUCUGACUAGAGUACGGCAGAGGGGGGUGGAAUUCCACGUGUAGCAGUGAAAUGCGUAGAGAUGUGGAGGAACACCGAUGGCGAAGGCAGCCCCCUGGGUCGAUACUGACGCUCAUGCACGAAAGCGUGGGGAGCAAAC
RNAcentral lists this ribosomal RNA (425 nucleotides) under uncultured Rhodocyclaceae bacterium. RNAcentral describes it as "bacterial SSU rRNA". It matches the Rfam family "Bacterial small subunit ribosomal RNA", at positions 356 to 773 of the family's 1533-position model. Lineage: Bacteria; Pseudomonadati; Pseudomonadota; Betaproteobacteria; Rhodocyclales; Rhodocyclaceae. The record is from RNAcentral.